This 484-nucleotide ribosomal RNA is filed under the name uncultured bacterium. Its description in RNAcentral is "partial 16S ribosomal RNA". It matches the Rfam family "Bacterial small subunit ribosomal RNA", at positions 30 to 507 of the family's 1533-position model. The record is from RNAcentral.
AUUGAACGCUGGCGGCAGGCCUAACACAUGCAAGUCGAGCGGAUGAAGGGAGCUUGCUCCUGGAUUCAGCGGCGGACGGGUGAGUAAUGCCUAGGAAUCUGCCUGGUAGUGGGGGAUAACGUCCGGAAACGGGCGCUAAUACCGCAUACGUCCUGAGGGAGAAAGUGGGGGAUCUUCGGACCUCACGCUAUCAGAUGAGCCUAGGUCGGAUUAGCUAGUUGGUGGGGUAAAGGCCUACCAAGGCGACGAUCCGUAACUGGUCUGAGAGGAUGAUCAGUCACACUGGAACUGAGACACGGUCCAGACUCCUACGGGAGGCAGCAGUGGGGAAUAUUGGACAAUGGGCGAAAGCCUGAUCCAGCCAUGCCGCGUGUGUGAAGAAGGUCUUCGGAUUGUAAAGCACUUUAAGUUGGGAGGAAGGGCAGUACGUUAAUACCUUGCUGUUUUGACGUUACCAACAGAAUAAGCACCGGCUAACUUCGUG